CCUACGGGAGGCAGCAGUGGGGAAUAUUGGACAAUGGGGGAAACCCUGAUCCAGCAAUGCCGCGUGAGUGAUGAAGGCCUUAGGGUCGUAAAGCUCUUUUACCAGGGAUGAUAAUGACAGUACCUGGAGAAUAAGCUCCGGCUAACUCCGUGCCAGCAGCCGCGGUAAUACGGAGGGAGCUAGCGUUGUUCGGAAUUACUGGGCGUAAAGCGUGCGUAGGCGGUUAUUCAAGUCAGAGGUGAAAGCCCGGGGCUCAACCCCGGAACGGCCUUUGAAACUAGAUAACUAGAAUCUUGGAGAGGUCAGUGGAAUUCCGAGUGUAGAGGUGAAAUUCGUAGAUAUUCGGAAGAACACCAGUGGCGAAGGCGACUGACUGGACAAGUAUUGACGCUGAGGUACGAAAGCGUGGGGAGCAAACAGGAUUAGAUACCCUGGUAGUCCACGCCGUAAACGAUGAUAACUAGCUGUCCGGACACUUGGUGUUUGGGUGGCGCAGCUAACGCAUUAAGUUAUCCGCCUGGGGAGUACGGUCGCAAGNUUAAAACUCAAAAGAUAGUACGCGNGNGAGNGCGACGACGACGACGAGGAGGAG
Molecule: ribosomal RNA, 592 nt
Filed under: uncultured bacterium
Lineage: Bacteria
Description: bacterial SSU rRNA
Rfam family: Bacterial small subunit ribosomal RNA
Source: RNAcentral